Non-coding RNA from Aphelenchus avenae, 73 nucleotides. The record is from the annotation of a GenBank genome assembly. NCBI's taxonomy places the organism in Eukaryota, Metazoa, Nematoda, Chromadorea, Rhabditida, Aphelenchidae.
GGUUCCAUAGUGUAGUGGUUAUCACGUCAGUCUUACACACUGAAGGUCGCCGGUUCGAUCCCGGCUGGAGCCA